GUGCCGGGCCUUUACAGGUCUGGCAAUUGGAAUGAGAACAAUUUAAAUCCCUUAUCGAGGAUCAAUUGGAGGGCAAGUCUGGUGCCAGCAGCCGCGGUAAUUCCAGCUCCAAUAGCGUAUAUUAAAGUUGUUGCAGUUAAAAAGCUCGUAGUUGGAUUUGUGGUUUACGCAAGGCUUCCGUCCCUCUUGGGUUUCGGUGUUGCCUGGCGUUGCCAUCCUUGGGUGGAAUCUGUGUGGCAUUAGGUUGUCGUGCAGGGGAUGCCCAUCGUUUACUGUGAAAAAAUUAGAGUGUUCAAAGCAGGCUUAUGCCGUUGAAUAUGUUAGCAUGGAAUAAUAAUAUAGGACCUUGGUACUAUUUUGUUGGUUUGCGCACCGAGGUAAUGAUUAACAGGGUCAACUGGGGAUAUUCGUAUUCCGCUGUCAGAGGUGAAAUUCUUGGAUUUUUGGAAGACGAACUACUGCGAAAGCAUUUAUCAAGGAUGUUUUCAUUAAUCAAGAACGAAAGUUAGGGGAUCGAAGAUGAUUAGAUACCAUCGUAGUCUUAACCAUAAACUAUGCCGACAAGGGAUUGGUGGAGUAUCGUUACGUCUCCAUCAGCACCUUAUGAGAAAUCAAAAGUCUUUGGGUUCCGGGGGGAGUAUGGUCGCAAGGCUGAAACUUAAAGAAAUUGACGGAAGGGCACCACCAGGAGUGGAGCCUGCGGCUAAAUUUGACCCAACACGGGAAAACUUACCAGGUCCAGACAUAGUGAGGAUUGACAGAUUGAGAGCUCUUUCUUGAUUCUAUGGGUGGUGGUGCAUGGCCGUUCUUAGUUGGUGGAGUGAUUUGUCUGGUUAAUUCCGUUAACGAACGAGACCCCUGCCUGCUAAAUAGCCCAGUGAGUGAUUUUUCACUGACUGUUGGCUUCUUAGAGGGACGUGCAUUCUAUUAGAUGCAGGAAGAUAGGGGCAAUAACAGGUCUGUGAUGCCCUUAGAUGUCCUGGGCCGCACGCGCGCUACACUGAUGAAUUCAACGAGUUUUUUCCUUGGCCGAGAGGCCUGGGCAAUCUUUUGAACGUUCAUCGUGAUAGGGAUAGAUUAUUGCAAUUAUUAAUCUUGAACGAGGAAUUCCUAGUAAACGCAGAUCAUCAAUCUGCAUUGAUUACGUCCCUGCCCUUUGUACACACCGCCCGUCGCACCUACCGAUUGAAUGGUCCGGUGAAGCCUCGGGAUUGUGGUCAGUUUGCUUUAUUGCGAGUUGAUUGCGAGAACUUGUCUAAACCUUAUCAUUUAGAGGAAGGUGAAGUC
This 1287-nucleotide ribosomal RNA is filed under the name metagenome. RNAcentral's name for it is "SSU rRNA". It matches the Rfam family "Eukaryotic small subunit ribosomal RNA", at positions 483 to 1790 of the family's 1831-position model. The record is from RNAcentral.